UCCCAGAUGGCUGAGUUCCUUAGAGUAUGGUGCUGAUAAUGCCAAGGUCACAGGUUCGAUCCCUGCAUGGUGGGAC
Molecule: non-coding RNA, 76 nt
Organism: Podarcis lilfordi (Lilford's wall lizard)
Lineage: Eukaryota; Metazoa; Chordata; Lepidosauria; Squamata; Lacertidae
Source: the annotation of a GenBank genome assembly